AUUGAACGCUGGCGGAAUGCUUUACACAUGCAAGUCGAACGGCAGCACGGACUUCGGUCUGGUGGCGAGUGGCGAACAGGUGAGUAAUGUAUCGGAACGUGCCCAGUCGUGGGGGAUAACGUAGUGAAAAUUACGCUAAUACCGCAUACGAUCUAUGGAUGAAAGCGGGGGAUCGCAAGACCUCGCGCGAUUGGAGCGGCCGAUAUCAGAUUAGGUAGUUGGUGGGGUAAAGGCCCACCAAGCCAACGAUCUGUAGCUGGUCUGAGAGGACGACCAGCACCACUGGAACUGAGACACGGUCCAGACUCCUACGGGAGGCAGCAGUAGGGAAUUUUGGACAAUGGGCGAAAGCCUGAUCCAGCCAUUCCGCGUGCAGGAUGAAGGCCCUCGUGUUGUAAACUGCUUUUGUACAGAACGAAAAGGUUUCUACUAAUACUAGGAGCUCAUGACGGUACUGUAAGAAUAAGCACCGGCUAACUACGUGCCAGCCGCCGCCGUAA
This 500-nucleotide ribosomal RNA is filed under the name uncultured bacterium. RNAcentral describes it as "partial 16S ribosomal RNA". It matches the Rfam family "Bacterial small subunit ribosomal RNA", at positions 30 to 523 of the family's 1533-position model. The record is from RNAcentral.